GACGAACGCUGGCGGCGUGCCUAAUACAUGCAAGUGGGACGCAAGGAAACACACUGUGCUUGCACACCGUGUUUGCUUGAGGCGCGAACGGGUGAGUAACGCGUAGGUAACCUGCCUAUGAUCGGGGGAUAACUAUUGGAAACGAUAGCUAAUAUCGCAUAAUAUUAAUUAUUGCAUGAUAAUUGAUGGAAAGAUGCAAGCGCAUCACUAGAUGAUGGACCUGCGUUGUAUUUGCUAGUUGGUUAGGUAAGAGCUUACCAAAGCGACGGUACAUAGCCGACCCUGGGGGGUGGUCGGCCCACAUGGGACUGGGACACCGCCCAGGCCCCCUACGGGGGCAGCAGUAGGGGAUCUUCGCGCAUGGACGAAAGUCUGACCGGGCCACGCCGCGGGAGUGGAGGAGGUUCUCCGAUCGUUAAGCUCUGUUGUAAGUCGAGAAAGAGUGGGGGAGUGGAAAGUUCACACAGUGACGGUAGCUUACCAGAAAGCGACGGCUAACUACGUG
RNAcentral lists this ribosomal RNA (505 nucleotides) under uncultured bacterium. RNAcentral describes it as "partial 16S ribosomal RNA". It matches the Rfam family "Bacterial small subunit ribosomal RNA", at positions 28 to 507 of the family's 1533-position model. The record is from RNAcentral.